GGAUUAGAUACCCGGGUAGUCCACGCCCUAAACGAUGUCAACUAGUUGUCGGGUCUUCAUUGACUUGGUAACGUAGCUAACGCGUGAAGUUGACCGCCUGGGGAGUACGGUCGCAAGAUUAAAACUCAAAGGAAUUGACGGGGACCCGCACAAGCGGUGGAUGAUGUGGAUUAAUUCGAUGCAACGCGAAAAACCUUACCUACCCUUGACAUGGUCAGGACCUGGCUGAAAGGCCGGGGUGCCCGAAAGGGAACUGACACACAGGUGCUGCAUGGCUGUCGUCAGCUCGUGUCGUGAGAUGUUGGGUUAAGUCCCGCAACGAGCGCAACCCUUGUCCCUAGUUGCUACGCAAGAGCACUCUAGGGAGACUGCCGGUGACAAACCGGAGGAAGGU
RNAcentral lists this ribosomal RNA (394 nucleotides) under uncultured bacterium. Its description in RNAcentral is "bacterial SSU rRNA". It matches the Rfam family "Bacterial small subunit ribosomal RNA", at positions 775 to 1174 of the family's 1533-position model. The record is from RNAcentral.